CUCGAAGAGACACUGAGGAAUUUUCUGGAACAAAAGAAGUAUUUUAUCAUAUUGGAUGAUAUCUGGACUCUCGAAUCAUUCAAUGAUUUUUCUGGGGCACUUAUCUGUAAUGACAAGGGCAGUAGACUCGUAAUCACAACACGGGAAGGCCACGUUGCUGCACUUGCCUCAGCAGGACAUGUCCUACUGGAAGCUUUCCCAAAAGAUAAAGCAUGGGAGCUCUUUUGUAAUACAGCAUUCCCAGGAGAUACAAAUCAUAAAUGCCCGAAAGAAAUGACAAAAUUAGCACAUCAAGUAGCAAGCAAGUGUAAAGGCAUACCUCUUGCCAUUGUCUCUAUUGGUAGGCUCCUCUUCAGGCGUGACAAGACCAAAGAGGAAUUGAAGCGAAUACACGACCAGCUCAACUGGGAGCUAUUUAAUAAUCCAAGCUUGGAACAUGUCAGGAAUAUCCUUUAUUUGAGCUACAUUUACCUUCCGACACACUUGAAAAGUUGUUUCCUAUACUGCAGCUUGUUUCCAGAGGACUAUCUCAUGAGAAGAAAAAAACUUAUAAGGUUGUGGGUAGCAGAGGGGUUCAUCGAGAGAAGGGGUGAAAGCACAAUGGAGGAAGUGGCAGAAGGUUAUCUAAAGGAGUUGGUUCACAGAAAUAUGCUACAACUUGUUCAAAAGAACUCAUUUGGUAGGAUGAAAUCAUUCCGGAUCCAUGAUAUCAUGCACGAGUUGGCAGUAGAUUUAUGUCAGAAAGAGUGCUUUGGUGGUGUAUACGAGGGGGAUAAGCAUACAGAAUAUAUUGAGGAGAAGGAUGGACGUCGACUGGUAAUACACAAACUGAAGAAGGGAAUAUACCAAUCACCCUCAAACUUACACCGCCUUCGUUCUCUCAUUGCAUUGGACAUUGGUACUCCAUCAUCCAGUCUACUGCCUCUAAUAGUGGGGAUGUCAAGAUAUAUGUCGGUACUGGAGCUAAGUGGCCUACCCAUUGAGAAUGUUCCAGAUGCUAUUGAAGAUCUUUUCAAUCUCCGCCAUUUAGGUCUGCGUGGUUCAAAGGUGAAGGUCCUCCCUAAGUCUGUUGAGAAACUUACAAAUUUAUUGACACUGGACCUUUUUGGAUCUGAUAGACAAGAGCUUCCUAGAGGGAUUGUCAAACUGAAGAAUCUUAGACAUUUGCUUGCUGAGAGAGUGUAUGAUGCAACUUGGGCAGAAUUUAGGUCUGCUAGUGGUGUACGUAUCCCCAGAAAUCUUGGGAACCUGACAAAUCUACAGACAUUGAAUGCGUUAGAUGCACAGGAUGAGUCUCUAGGUUGUUUGGGGGAGCUUAGGCAACUAAGAAGCUUCAGGAUAUGGAAUGUGAAGGGAAUCUACUGUGGACGCCUGUGUGAAUCCCUUGUUCAGAUGCAAUUUUUGUCUGUGCUAAGUGUGAAUGCAAGUGAUAAGAAUGAGGUUCUCCAGUUGAAUGCUCUCCCACCAAAUCUGAAGAAGCUACGUCUGACUGGAAGAUUAGCGGAAGGGACAUUGUGCGAGUCUCUCUUCCAAGCUGUGGGUCAGAACUUGUAUUCGUUGCAUCUAUAUUGGUCCGAGUUGAAAGAAAACCCCCUGCCAUCACUUUCUCAGAUGUCAAAUAUGACAGACCUAGAUUUGACAAGUGCAUAUACUGGAGAGGAGCUGAUAUUUCUCAGUGGCUGGUUUCCUAAUCUGAAGACCCUCUUUCUAAGAGACCUUCCUAAUCUGAAGCUGCUAGAGUUUAAAAAAGAUGCCAUGGCGAGCCUGGAAAGAUUGAUACUGAUCAACCUAAAUAGCAUGACGGAGGUCCCACCUGGCAUUGAGUUCCUUGGGCACCUUAAAAAGCUAAGCUUUGCCGGAAUCACCCCCGACUUCCUGAUGUUGCUGCGCCAAUGUUCUAGAAUUGGCAGGGUGCGAUGGCAGCAUUCUCUACGCCAUUGA
RNAcentral lists this ribosomal RNA (1941 nucleotides) under Triticum aestivum (bread wheat). RNAcentral describes it as "partial small subunit ribosomal RNA". The record is from RNAcentral. Lineage: Eukaryota; Viridiplantae; Streptophyta; Magnoliopsida; Poales; Poaceae.